Chrysemys picta bellii (western painted turtle) is the source of this 3063-nucleotide non-coding RNA. The record is from RefSeq and is a predicted model, not a curated record. Lineage: Eukaryota; Metazoa; Chordata; Testudines; Emydidae.
GUAGGUUCAUGAACAUCUGGAGCAGAGAUUCCCAUGAUGCAAUGCUUCCCUGCUUUUCUGGUACCAGAGUUCAGUCUGGUUCUCUGUUCUUCAUUCUGUAUGCUAAUCCCCGUCCCAUCUUUCAUGUAGAUGAGGCUAGGGGAGUUGUUUCUGCUCUCCAUUCUGUAUGCAAAUGGAGAUGUCUUAAUCUUGUCACCCUUGUCAGAAGGGGUCUCUAGGUGUGUGUCCCAACGCCCUUCAUUGCUCUCUACAAGCCUUUUCUCUGAUUGGUCUUGGUUCAAGCAGAGACCGGGGUGUGUGUGUGUCCCUCAUGAGUCAGACAGGCCAGACACUGCGCCCUGGUUCCCCAAAACCACAGAGCUGACUGGUAUCAGGGUGGCCUGCUCCAUGAUGCCAUCUACUUCUCUGACGGAGUGUCCUUUUUUGAAGAAGGCAGUUCUGAGUGUAUUAAGGUGUAUAUCCUGGACUUUCUCCUUGGAGCAUAUUCUGUUGUAUCUAGUUACUGACUGUAGGGAAUAGAUUUCCUCGGUGUGUUUGGGGUGGUGACUGGAUCUAUGAAUGCAGGUGUGGUGAUCUGUGGGUUUAUUUUAUAUAGUUGUCUAUAGGGGUUCUAUUGGUGAAGCUGAUCAUGAUGUCCAGGAAGUUUAUUGUUGAUCUGGGAGUGUGUCAGAGAGAGUUUAAUGGACAGGUGGUGGUUGUUGAAGUAGUGGUGGAAAGCUAUAAGGACUUUUAAGUCAUCUGUCCAGAAGAUAAAAAUAUCAAUGAUGUAUCUCAGGUAUAUCUUGGGUUUUGUGAUACAUUUGUCCACUAGUGUAGUCAAGUGCUUAAAAUACUAGACAGGGAGUCAGGACUCCUGGGUUCUAUUUCCAGCUUUAGUACCAUAAUUGCCACAUACCUAUGGCAGAAGGAGGUCCUGUUCCCAGUGUUGGUGUAUGCAGAGUACAGACAUGGCCUAGGAGUAUGCAUAGAACUGUGAUAAUGUGAGUUUUUCAAUGGUAGAGCUCACAUGGAAGGUGUAAUUCCAAACUGGACCUUUGGGGAGCUAUUCAUUGUGUCUCCUUCCUGGCAGAUCAGCACUACUCUGCUGGAAAGGGGAUGGGGCAGGAAAGAAGACACAGGGAGAGCCGGAGAGGCAGAAUCUGGUGAGGGUAUAGGGAGAUGACUGGGUAUCUCACUGUGACUAGAGGACUUUUCUCCUUGAUUGCCUAAACUAUUAGACAGCUGGAGAAACUCAUUUCAAAGAGCAUUCAGGACAAAUCAAGGCUGAGAAGAGUUCUGUACAGAAAAGAGAGCCCUGCCCAGGGAGCUUAAGAAGGCAUCAGAAGUCACUAAUGUUCACAUACCAACUACCCAGCUGACCAUGCGGGCUCCACGCUGCAAACGCUCUCCUGCCUGGAGUACACAGAGGAGGUGGUGGAUCUCCUGGGUCUGUGGUGACAAGAGGCUGUGCAGGCACAGCUCCAAUCUAGCUAUAGAAAUGUCAACACUGAUGAGCAGAUCACUCAGGGGAGCAGGAGAAGGGCUACAAGAGGGACAUGCAGCAGAGCCACAUGAAAAUCAAGGAGCUGCAGUAGGCGUACCAGAAGGCAAGGAAGGCAAACAGUCACGCUGGUGCAGAGCCGCAGACAUGCAGCUUCUCUAAGGAGCUCUAUGUCAUCCUCAGCAGCGACACCCCCCCAUCACCACAAGGGCCCUGUGUAUACUUCAGGGGUGCUGGAGGCACAGGCCACCAAAGUGAACCCUGAGGAUGAGGUGUUGGAAGAGGAGGAGGUGAGCUUGAUGCAGGGGUAGGAACCUCUGCUGCAAAUGCGGUCUUGAGGGUCUCUCCAUCCACACCCAUGGAGUGGCUUAGCCAGGUAAGGAGGAGUCUGAAGAGGACAAGGGAAGACACGUUCCAGGAGAUCCUGCAAGCCUCUGGUGCUUCGGAUACCAAACAGAGGGCUUAGAGGAUUACACUUGAGGACAGAAUGGACAGGGAUAGUGAGGACAGGAAAAACAGACAGCAAGAGAUGAUAGUACUUCUCAGGGAGCAAACAGACAUGCUGUGGUCUCUGACUGACCUUCAAGCUCAAUAGGUUCAUGCUCGCCUCCCCCUGCAGCCAAUAGAGAACUGCAUUUUGGCACCUCUCUACACGCCCUCCCACCCAAUCCGCAUGGCGUCUGGGGCCUGUGCAAUACCCCUACCACUCCACUUGGGGGAGAGUGUUUGUGAAAUUGAAGUGACUGUUCUUUCCCCUUCAAAGGUUCUUGUCCCUGUAUUUAUAAAGUUUUGUUCUGCUUUAACUAUGUCUAUUUGCAUGGGUUCAGAAUAAAAGUCUAUUUAUGGAAAAUUAAUUCAUCUUUAUUAGUUCACAAGAUAUGGUGGCUGGGGUUGGCAUCAUUUCACAGAUAAUAGCAAUAGGUACAUUUGCAGUAUUAUAUUACCACACACAGAGCUCUCAUUACAAGGUGCAUACUGGGGUGCAAAGAAAAAAAUGCCAGGUGCAGCACACUAGAGCAACACACAUUACUGUGGCUCAUUGUUAUAAUGGUCCUUCAAAGUCUCCCACCCAGGGGUAGGCUGGAUCUCCCAAGAUCACUACUGGCAUUUCAACAUCCCUUUUGGUAAUCCUCUGGUCUGGAAAAGUCCCUGCGUUUGUCAUGUGCCUUCCCUGACCUGUUCAUGUUGAUGUAGGUGAAAUGACCCUGGUAAUCCACCAGCACUUGCAAUGCCAUAGAAAAGUAGCCCUUUCUGUUGAUGUACUCCGUGGCAAGGUGGUGUGGUGCCAAAAUAGGGAUAUGCGUGCCAUCUGUCACUCCACCGCGGGUAGGGAACCCUAUUGCUGCAAAACCAUCCACUAUUUCUCAGACAUUGCCCAGAGUCACAGUCCUUUUUAGCUGGACACAAGUAAUGGCCCUGCACACUUGCAUCACCGCAACCCCCACAAUGGAUUUACUAAUUCCUUCCUAAAGAAGCUGACCAAAUGCCUCACAAAGCUUACUUAGAAAUCAAGCAAGUAUACAGCCAAUAUUCUUAACCUCAAGUACAAAAUGCUAUAUGUGUACAAAUAGGAUGAAUAGAUA